Molecule: ribosomal RNA, 204 nt
Filed under: uncultured Desulfobacterium sp.
Lineage: Bacteria; Pseudomonadati; Thermodesulfobacteriota; Desulfobacteria; Desulfobacterales; Desulfobacteriaceae
Description: partial 16S ribosomal RNA
Rfam family: Bacterial small subunit ribosomal RNA
Source: RNAcentral
AUGACGUCAAGUCCUCAUGGCCCUUAUGUCCAGGGCUACACACGUGCUACAAUGGGCAGUACAAAGGGUAGCAAGCCUGCGAAGGUGAGCCAAUCCCAAAAAGCUGUUCGUAGUUCGGAUUGGAGUCUGCAACUCGACUCCAUGAAGCUGGAAUCGCUAGUAAUCGCGGAUCAGCAUGCCGCGGUGAAUACGUUCCCGGGCCUU